GACGAACCGUGCAAACGUUAUUCGGAAUCACUGGGCAUAAAGGGCGCGUAGGCGGCUUUCUAAGUCAGGGGUGAAAUCCGGCAGCUCAACUGUCGCAGUGCCUUUGAUACUGGAGAGCUCGAGGGAGGUAGGGGUCUGUGGAACUUCCGGUGGAGCGGUGAAAUGCAUUGAGAUCGGAAAGAACACCAACGGCGAAAGCACUCUGCUGGGCCGACACUGACACUGAGAGACGAAAGCUAGGGGAGCAAAUGGG
Molecule: ribosomal RNA, 253 nt
Filed under: uncultured bacterium
Lineage: Bacteria
Description: partial 16S ribosomal RNA
Rfam family: Bacterial small subunit ribosomal RNA
Source: RNAcentral